UAAAUGACUCUCGGCAACGGAUAUCUCGGCUCAUGCAUCGAUGAAGAACGUAGCAAAAUGCGAUACUUGGUGUGAAUUGCAGAAUCCCGUGAACCAUCGAGUUUUUGAACGCAAGUUGCGCCUGAUGCUAUUUGGCAGAAGGCACGUCUGCCUGGGUGUCACGU
This 164-nucleotide ribosomal RNA is filed under the name Balduina uniflora. RNAcentral's name for it is "5.8S ribosomal RNA". It matches the Rfam family "5.8S ribosomal RNA". Rfam says of the family: 5.8S ribosomal RNA (5.8S rRNA) is a component of the large subunit of the eukaryotic ribosome. The record is from RNAcentral. Lineage: Eukaryota; Viridiplantae; Streptophyta; Magnoliopsida; Asterales; Asteraceae.